Alosa sapidissima (American shad) is the source of this 1260-nucleotide long non-coding RNA. RefSeq lists it as uncharacterized. The transcript is spliced from 4 exons. The record is from RefSeq and is a predicted model, not a curated record. Lineage: Eukaryota; Metazoa; Chordata; Actinopteri; Clupeiformes; Clupeidae.
UUGUCCCCCAUGUUGCCAGUCAUGUAGGCAAUAGGCAUGUAUUUGUAGCGCAAAAAGGGAAAUGCAGUUUAGUUUAAAAAGAGGCUGACCUGUUCAAUUUGUCGUACUACUUUUAUUGGUUACAUAAAUUAUGGUGGGUAGCUGGCUACUUUGCUUUGUCGAUUCCACUGUUGCGAGCUAGGCCUACAGACAAGUCUGGCGCAGGUUGGUGCAGAUCUGCAUAGUGAGUGCGACUGCUGCGCGAAUCUGCUGAUUCAAAAAUGGAUCUGGCAGACUGGCACAGAUGUAAAUGCUGUCUGGGUAGCUUCUGACUGUGACAGUCCAUCCAGCGGGUGCGGCGCAUAUGGGGCAGCUUCGCAGACCAGACGCGCCACAACUGAAUUGAGUCCGCCCGGCGGGUGUGGGGCGGAUCCGCAGGAGCUGCGCAGACCUGACGCGCCACAACUAACGGAACACUUUUCCCCACAUAAACCAACUCUACGUUAUGUGAUUAUGCAGAGUGGAAGACUACAGGCUGCACCGUCUUUGUGAUUAUUGACUAAUAUGACCUAAUUGAACAACGUGGGAUCUGUGCCAAAAUCUCUACCUGGAACGAAAGUCCUGAAAAUGACCACAACAGAUGACACUAUUCUCACACUACAGUUUACUUGGCAGCCAUAGUGACCUAAGGUCAUAGCAGAGCACAUGGCUGUAAAGCAAGAUGACUUGUGAGAUCAAGAAAAGAGCAGUGAGCAAGAAUCGCAGGUUGAUGCCUAACGUUAACGUUAGUCCAAUUGGGCUAGUUUUUGCCCUGGUCCUCUGACAUCCGUGAACGGCACUGCAAUUCACCGUCUGCUCGAAAAUAUUUCUCAGAACGGCUAGCCUACUCUGCGAGAGAUCUGCCGCUGCCGCGACCAAGGAACUGCUGUUGACCUGCGAGCUGCCAUGCUAGCAGCCUGCUGCACUCUGGAUUGAGUAGCCUAGCUAACGUCGAAGAACUCUCACAAAACAACAAACUGUCGCUGUCAAAGUCCACCGAGCUGCUGAUCUGCAGGACCGCCCAACUGUACUUUCAGUGCUCCCCAGACUGCCAGUAAUCUUACAUCCUCCGACACAGCUGAGCGCCGAUCAUCAUUGGACAUCAGCCGGUUAGAUGCAACGGACUAUGUUAACAUGACAUUUUCUUUUCUUUUUCUUUCAGUGCGUUUGGCGGAGUUUGUUUAUCAACAUAAGCCAAUAAAGUAGCAAAAAUUAAAAAAGACACAUUACGCUUACAUUUCA